RNAcentral lists this ribosomal RNA (2934 nucleotides) under Bacillus amyloliquefaciens. RNAcentral describes it as "bacterial LSU rRNA". It matches the Rfam family "Bacterial large subunit ribosomal RNA". Lineage: Bacteria; Bacillati; Bacillota; Bacilli; Caryophanales; Bacillaceae. The record is from RNAcentral.
CGGUUAAGUUAGAAAGGGCGCACGGUGGAUGCCUUGGCACUAGGAGCCGAUGAAGGACGGGACGAACACCGAUAUGCUUCGGGGAGCUGUAAGCAAGCUUUGAUCCGGAGAUUUCCGAAUGGGGAAACCCACCACUCGUAAUGGAGUGGUAUCCAUAUCUGAAUACAUAGGAUAUGAGAAGGCAGACCCGGGGAACUGAAACAUCUAAGUACCCGGAGGAAGAGAAAGCAAAUGCGAUUCCCUGAGUAGCGGCGAGCGAAACGGGAUCAGCCCAAACCAAGAGGCUUGCCUCUUGGGGUUGUAGGACACUCUGUACGGAGUUACAAAGGAACGAGGUAGAUGAAGAGGUCUGGAAAGGCCCGCCAUAGGAGGUAACAGCCCUGUAGUCAAAACUUCGUUCUCUCCUGAGUGGAUCCUGAGUACGGCGGAACACGUGAAAUUCCGUCGGAAUCCGGGAGGACCAUCUCCCAAGGCUAAAUACUCCCUAGUGACCGAUAGUGAACCAGUACCGUGAGGGAAAGGUGAAAAGCACCCCGGAAGGGGAGUGAAAGAGAUCCUGAAACCGUGUGCCUACAAGUAGUCAGAGCCCGUUAACGGGUGAUGGCGUGCCUUUUGUAGAAUGAACCGGCGAGUUACGAUCCCGUGCAAGGUUAAGCAGAAGAUGCGGAGCCGCAGCGAAAGCGAGUCUGAAUAGGGCGAAUUGAGUACGUGGUCGUAGACCCGAAACCAGGUGAUCUACCCAUGUCCAGGGUGAAGUUCAGGUAACACUGAAUGGAGGCCCGAACUCACGCACGUUGAAAAGUGCGGGGAUGAGGUGUGGGUAGGGGUGAAAUGCCAAUCGAACCUGGAGAUAGCUGGUUCUCUCCGAAAUAGCUUUAGGGCUAGCCUCAAGGUAAGAGUCUCGGAGGUAGAGCACUGAUUGGACUAGGGGCCCCUACCGGGUUACCGAAUUCAGUCAAACUCCGAAUGCCGAUGACUUAUCCUUGGGAGUCAGACUGCGAGUGAUAAGAUCCGUAGUCGAAAGGGAAACAGCCCAGACCGCCAGCUAAGGUCCCAAAGUAUACGUUAAGUGGAAAAGGAUGUGGAGUUGCUUAGACAACCAGGAUGUUGGCUUAGAAGCAGCCACCAUUUAAAGAGUGCGUAAUAGCUCACUGGUCGAGUGACUCUGCGCCGAAAAUGUACCGGGGCUAAACGUAUCACCGAAGCUGCGGACUGUUCUUCGAACAGUGGUAGGAGAGCGUUCUAAGGGCUGUGAAGCAAGACCGGAAGGACUUGUGGAGCGCUUAGAAGUGAGAAUGCCGGUAUGAGUAGCGAAAGAGGGGUGAGAAUCCCCUCCACCGAAUGCCUAAGGUUUCCUGAGGAAGGCUCGUCCGCUCAGGGUUAGUCGGGACCUAAGCCGAGGCCGAAAGGCGUAGGCGAUGGAUAACAGGUUGAUAUUCCUGUACCACCUCCUCACCAUUUGAGCAAUGGGGGGACGCAGGAGGAUAGGGUAAGCGCGGUAUUGGAUAUCCGCGUCCAAGCAGUUAGGCUGGGAAAUAGGCAAAUCCGUUUCCCGUGAAGGCUGAGCUGUGAUGGCGAGCGAAUUAUAGUAGCGAAGUUCCUGAUUCCACACUGCCAAGAAAAGCCUCUAGCGAGGUGAGAGGUGCCCGUACCGCAAACCGACACAGGUAGGCGAGGAGAGAAUCCUAAGGUGAUCGAGAGAACUCUCGUUAAGGAACUCGGCAAAAUGACCCCGUAACUUCGGGAGAAGGGGUGCUCUGUUAGGGUGCAAGCCCGAGAGAGCCGCAGUGAAUAGGCCCAGGCGACUGUUUAGCAAAAACACAGGUCUCUGCGAAGCCGUAAGGCGAAGUAUAGGGGCUGACGCCUGCCCGGUGCUGGAAGGUUAAGAGGAGCGCUUAGCGUAAGCGAAGGUGCGAAUUGAAGCCCCAGUAAACGGCGGCCGUAACUAUAACGGUCCUAAGGUAGCGAAAUUCCUUGUCGGGUAAGUUCCGACCCGCACGAAAGGCGCAACGAUCUGGGCACUGUCUCAACGAGAGACUCGGUGAAAUUAUAGUACCUGUGAAGAUGCAGGUUACCCGCGACAGGACGGAAAGACCCCGUGGAGCUUUACUGCAGCCUGAUAUUGAAUGUUGGUACAGCUUGUACAGGAUAGGUAGGAGCCUUGGAAACCGGAGCGCCAGCUUCGGUGGAGGCAUCGGUGGGAUACUACCCUGGCUGUAUUGACCUUCUAACCCGCCGCCCUUAUCGGGCGGGGAGACAGUGUCAGGUGGGCAGUUUGACUGGGGCGGUCGCCUCCUAAAAGGUAACGGAGGCGCCCAAAGGUUCCCUCAGAAUGGUUGGAAAUCAUUCGCAGAGUGUAAAGGCACAAGGGAGCUUGACUGCGAGACCUACAAGUCGAGCAGGGACGAAAGUCGGGCUUAGUGAUCCGGUGGUUCCGCAUGGAAGGGCCAUCGCUCAACGGAUAAAAGCUACCCCGGGGAUAACAGGCUUAUCUCCCCCAAGAGUCCACAUCGACGGGGAGGUUUGGCACCUCGAUGUCGGCUCAUCGCAUCCUGGGGCUGUAGUCGGUCCCAAGGGUUGGGCUGUUCGCCCAUUAAAGCGGUACGCGAGCUGGGUUCAGAACGUCGUGAGACAGUUCGGUCCCUAUCCGUCGCGGGCGCAGGAAAUUUGAGAGGAGCUGUCCUUAGUACGAGAGGACCGGGAUGGACGCACCGCUGGUGUACCAGUUGUUCUGCCAAGGGCAUCGCUGGGUAGCUAUGUGCGGACGGGAUAAGUGCUGAAAGCAUCUAAGCAUGAAGCCCCCCUCAAGAUGAGAUUUCCCAUUCCGCAAGGAAGUAAGAUCCCUGAAAGAUGAUCAGGUUGAUAGGUCUGAGGUGGAAGUGUGGCGACACAUGGAGCUGACAGAUACUAAUCGAUCGAGGACUUAACCAAUUU